AUCGGGGUGGCCAAGUGGUUACGGCGUUGGACUAAAGUUCCAAUGGACAAAAGUCCUCGUGGGUUCAAACCCCACUCCUGGUA
This 83-nucleotide transfer RNA is filed under the name Ameiurus melas (black bullhead). It matches the Rfam family "tRNA". Rfam says of the family: Transfer RNA (tRNA) molecules are approximately 80 nucleotides in length. Lineage: Eukaryota; Metazoa; Chordata; Actinopteri; Siluriformes; Ictaluridae. The record is from Rfam by way of RNAcentral.